This 72-nucleotide transfer RNA is filed under the name Magnaporthiopsis poae ATCC 64411. Its description in RNAcentral is "Magnaporthe poae ATCC 64411 tRNA". It matches the Rfam family "tRNA". From Rfam's summary of the family: Transfer RNA (tRNA) molecules are approximately 80 nucleotides in length. Their secondary structure includes four short double-helical elements and three loops (D, anti-codon, and T loops). Lineage: Eukaryota; Fungi; Ascomycota; Sordariomycetes; Magnaporthales; Magnaporthaceae. The record is from Rfam by way of RNAcentral.
AAUUGUUUAGCGCAAUAGUAACGCGUUUAUCCUUUAAACGAAAAGGUUUUAAUUCGAUUUUAAAAAUGUUUU